Molecule: transfer RNA, 68 nt
Filed under: Onthophagus laticollis
Lineage: Eukaryota; Metazoa; Arthropoda; Insecta; Coleoptera; Scarabaeidae
Description: tRNA-Cys
Source: RNAcentral
AGUUUUAUAGUCUAAUUAAUGAUUUUAAAUUGCAAAUUUAAAGGUGAAUAUUUAUAGUUCUAUAACUU